GAUUAACGCUGGCGGCGUGCCUAACACAUGCAAGUCGAACGAUGAAACUUAGUAUACUUCUUCGGAACGACACUAAGCGGAUUAGUGGCGAACGGGUGAGUAACCCGUGAGUAACCUGCAUUACACAAGGGGAUAGCUUAUGGAAACGAAGAAUAAUACCCUAUAAAACUAUAAAAGCACAUGCUAUCACGGUCAAAGUGAUAGCGGUGUAAGAUGGACUUGCGUCUGAUUAGCUAGUAGGAGAGAUAAAAGCUCAACAAGGCAACGAUCAGUAGCCGGCUUGGGAGAGUGGACGGCAACAUUAGGACUGAGACACGGCCCAAAUUCCUACGGAAGGCAGCAGUGGUGAAUUUGGCACGAUGGGUGAAUCACGAAGGCAUCGACGCUGCGUAAUUUAGAAGGCCUUCAGGUUGUAAUAAGCUUUUGUAUAGGAAGAAGAUGACAGUACUAUACGAAUAAGAUCCGGCUAAUUACGUG
This 477-nucleotide ribosomal RNA is filed under the name uncultured bacterium. Its description in RNAcentral is "partial 16S ribosomal RNA". It matches the Rfam family "Bacterial small subunit ribosomal RNA", at positions 28 to 507 of the family's 1533-position model. The record is from RNAcentral.